GACGAACGCUGGCGGCGUGCUUAACACAUGCAAGUCGAACGAUGAAGAAGAGCUUGCUCUUCGGAUUAGUGGCGAACGGGUGAGUAACACGUGACUAACCUGCCCCUUUCUCUGGGAUAACGCUCCGAAAGGAGUGCUAAUACCGGAUACUCACAUCGAGGCACAUGCCUUGAUGUGGAAAGUUUUUCGGAAAGGGAUGGAGUCGCGGCCUAUCAGCUUGUUGGUGAGGUAACGGCUCACCAAGGAGACGACGGGUAGCCGGCCUGAGAGGGCGACCGGCCACACUGGGACUGAGACACGGCCCAGACUCCUACGGGAGGCAGCAGUGGGGAAUAUUGCACAAUGGGCGAAAGCCUGAUGCAGCGACGCCGCGUGAGGGAUGAAGGUCUUCGGACUGUAAACCUCUUUCAGUAGGGACGAAGCGAAAGUGACGGUACCUAAAGAAGAAGCACCGGCUAACUACGUGCCAGCCGCCGCGGUAA
Molecule: ribosomal RNA, 482 nt
Filed under: uncultured bacterium
Lineage: Bacteria
Description: partial 16S ribosomal RNA
Rfam family: Bacterial small subunit ribosomal RNA
Source: RNAcentral